Molecule: long non-coding RNA, 1909 nt
Organism: Dromaius novaehollandiae (emu)
Lineage: Eukaryota; Metazoa; Chordata; Aves; Casuariiformes; Dromaiidae
Exons: 3
Source: RefSeq, a predicted model, not a curated record
GUGAAAUCCCUGCGCUCGGCUCUCGCUUGGAAGACUGCUCCCACGAGCCCCAGAAACCAAAAGCGUUUGUACGGACACGACGCUCCUGACAUAUCCGAGCCUGAGGCAAUUUUGAACAUCCAGUUUAAGUGGAAAGGGGGCAGGGCAGGGCAGGGAGGAAAGAAGAGAUAAGGAGAGCUGUGGAAACACCAUAAUCUUUCAUCCGCCUCUCGUUAACACGGACAGGCCGUCGGUGGCAUUUGGCCGCUGCUGGCUGGGUGCCGGCUCAUGGGACGGGUGCUCCCUGCCCUCCUCAGCCCCGGUGGGUCCAGAGGCCCUGGGAUCACAGCUCCCCGCUACCGCCGCCCCCAUGGGAAGGAGCUGCUGCCACUCCAGAGCGCAGACCCCACCGCAGACCCCCGGCAGACCCCGGCCCCACGGCCCAGCCUGGCUGGCUCCCUGCUCACAGGGCUCGGCCAUCAGAGCCCAGGUCACAAGCACAGUGGGCGAGAACGAAGCUACAGCCCCGUAAAAUCCUCACACGAGGAGACUCGGACUCUACAAAACAGGAAAAAAAGUGGAGUAGCUCUUUUUUACACGAUAAAGGUGGAAGAUCACUACUAUCAUUGCUACCGACCCCAGGGGAGAUGAGGAGGCGAGGAGCAAACCACAGGAAAGAUCAACGGCUUGAAGCCUUGGAGGGCGAAUUAAAAAUGUCAGAGGCCACCGGAGAAAGCUGUAACAUGAGCUGCCAGCUGUCAGCAUUUACGUCACCAAAAUAAGAGAGGCUAUUUUACCACAUUUGAGUCUCCAGGGUGGCAAUCGAUUUCUCCCAUAAGACGGGACUUUUGCCUCUGUGCUGAGCUACAUCCCUGGUACGCGGCCCCGCGCACCGACAGAGGCGACCACAGAGAGGAGGUAAAAGCAGAGGCAGGACUUCAGACAUACCUCUGCCUACGAGCCUUGGCUGGAAGGAAAUGACACCCAUUACCGUAACAAUGAAGUCAAUACCACUUCCCCCAGGCUAAAGCCGCUGUCCUGUCCAAAAAUGCUUUGUAAGGGUGAGGCACUAUUACUGUAAUUGAAAGGGAUUAGAGAGAAAAUUAAUCUCUUUCCCUCCCCGGCGAGUCUGAGGGCAGAGGCAUCAGCCUGCCACCUCCGGGGAGCGGGGCGGCCUCCCCAGCCUCCGUGGGGUCCCUGGGGCAGCAGGAGGCCCCCGGGCAGGCGGCAUGCAGAAACCCGCAAGUUUCGGCAUCCCGUUUGUCUCAAAGGGCAGCUCCCGAAAGCAGCAGUUCAGGUACAGCAGGAGUUCAGAUAAGGUUUGCAGCGCAGAGCCCGUUGCUGGAGGAAGAGGAUUUCAGUCUUCUGCAAUUCACGUCCUAUUCCUGCUUUUUCCUCCUUCCCUGCCGAGCGUGCGGUAAACUGAAAACAUUUCUGCGCUAAUAUACAGCUCAGACGGUGCAGAGCAACGGUGCGCUGCAGCCCAGGACCAGCGCCGGAGCUGGGAUUUGGCCGUGGCUGGCGAGCACGGAGCAGUUCCCAGGAGUAGCCAGCAAGGGGGGAACGAGGCGGAUCACCUUGGCGCUGGCCCUACAAGAAACGGCCACAGAUUACCCCAUAGCCAGGCAAGCCCUGCUGCCACAAUCCCGCUGACCCAGGAGAGGAGCCGGGUGUCAGAGCACGUCACCCCGUCCCAGAGGGACAGCAUCGCUGAUGGCCUCGGUCCCGCCAGCAGCGUCGCCUCUGAGCAGCCUUGGGCUCCGGGGAGCUUCAGGGACUCCCCGUGCACCUCCCUUACUGCCUGCCUUGCUUUAGCACGGCAUGUCUUCGAUCAUUUUAUUUAAAGGCAUUUCUAGCUUGUCCCUUAUCAAGAAUAUAUUAGGCUACAGGGAGACAUCAAUAAAAAGCAAGGUCUGGAAAACUUGCAAAA